AGCAGUGCAUUAUUGAAUUAAGCAAAACCAUGGUAUAGACAAUUGCAAGGUUAAUUCCUAGGAGAACACAUCUUGUUGUUAUUCAAUUAUUUUUUCAAUCUCAAGCAAUUGAUUGGGCUUCUGCUGUACAUGACAUCAAACUUUUUAAGCAGGAAUGUGGUGUUCCAGUUCACCCUGACAUUGCUGAUAGUUGUAAUUUCAGUUCACUUUUUAUUGAUGUGUUUAGUUUCGAAGAUAUUCUUUAAACUGCUCGUCUGGUUCAAAAUGAAGACUGUGGCUGUCCUCCUGUUGCUGCUUAUUUGGAUUGGAUACAUCAGGUCUGCGUCUAUGUUGUUCAAUAUCAAGAAUGUAAUGUUACACACACAGUUGCACCAAGACUGGAUCCUGGUUUAUCUGGUAAUAGCAUUUGUAACAGCUAUAUGGAGCUAUUACAAAUAUCCACUUCAUACGUAUAUACGUUAUGUUUCAGUGUUUAAUUACACACACAAAAUAAUCGGUCUUAUGUUAGCUACUUAUUCAGCGAAAAACAAUCCUUCUAUGGCUUUACUUCAAUGUUUUACGAUCAUAUGUGUGUCAUGGAUAUUACUGAGUGCUAUUAGAAUUUUAAAAGUAACAUUUUUAUACAUACUACAGCUGUUUUGCUGUAGUCUGAAAUUUGUUGCAAAAGUUAUACUUUUUGUUAUAUGGAAAUUGAUUAGCUCUGUGUACAUCUUCUUGAAAAGACUGGUGCUUCUU
Molecule: long non-coding RNA, 735 nt
Organism: Mytilus californianus (California mussel)
Lineage: Eukaryota; Metazoa; Mollusca; Bivalvia; Mytilida; Mytilidae
Exons: 4
Source: RefSeq, a predicted model, not a curated record